RNAcentral lists this non-coding RNA (29 nucleotides) under Mus musculus (house mouse). The record is from RNAcentral. Lineage: Eukaryota; Metazoa; Chordata; Mammalia; Rodentia; Muridae.
UGGGAAGGAUGAUAGCAGAUAUGGGCAGA